GACGAACGCUGGCGGCGUGCUUAACACAUGCAAGUCGAACGGAAAGGCCCUGCUUUUGUGGGGUGCUCGAGUGGCGAACGGGUGAGUAACACGUGAGUAACCUGCCCUUGACUUUGGGAUAACUUCAGGAAACUGGGGCUAAUACCGGAUAGGAGCUCCUGCUGCAUGGUGGGGGUUGGAAAGUUUCGGCGGUUGGGGAUGGACUCGCGGCUGAUCAGCUUGUUGGUGGGGUAGUGGCUUACCAAGGCUUUGACGGAUAGCCGGCCUGAGAGGGUGACCGGCCACAUUGGGACUGAGAUACGGCCCAGACUCCUACGGGAGGCAGCAGUGGGGAAUAUUGCACAAUGGGCGGAAGCCUGAUGCAGCAACGCCGCGUGCGGGAUGACGGCCUUCGGGUUGUAAACCGCUUUCGCCUGUGACGAAGCGUGAGUGACGGUAAUGGGUAAAGAAGCACCGGCUAACUACGUG
This 468-nucleotide ribosomal RNA is filed under the name uncultured bacterium. RNAcentral's name for it is "partial 16S ribosomal RNA". It matches the Rfam family "Bacterial small subunit ribosomal RNA", at positions 28 to 507 of the family's 1533-position model. The record is from RNAcentral.